This 503-nucleotide long non-coding RNA is filed under the name Panax ginseng (ginseng). Its description in RNAcentral is "long non-coding RNA (PGIN_LNC016021)". Lineage: Eukaryota; Viridiplantae; Streptophyta; Magnoliopsida; Apiales; Araliaceae. The record is from RNAcentral.
AGGAAAAAGAGGAAAUUGCAGAAUUUUUAGCAUUAAGUUGGAUGCAUGUUCUUAGCUUAGGACUUGAAUUUUAUUUUAGAGCUCUUCUUUAGCUUUCCGGAACAUCUUGAAUCGUCCCAAUCGGAGUUCAUAUGAAAAAGUUAUGACAUUUUUACUAAACGGACGUUGAACCUCAAAGUUUGGAAGUUGCAAUUUACACAGCAGUCACUUGGAGUCCGAUUUUGACCUUGAUACAGAGCGAUUCUGUCGAUUCUCAAAGAAUGAAAGUUGUAGAUCUCGUCGAUAUCUUCGUUUUGAUAGGUAGCAGGCCCCGUAACUCCUCCUGGAUCAAACGUUAUGCUCGUAUUACCAAAGGACGUCGUACCAGGAAAUGAAAAUUCGCCCCCGCGAAUUUGAGCGGGAAAAUCAGGAAAUCUUGGAUUUUUGGAAAGUUUCUAAAUGCAGAUUUUGGUAGACUUCUACAUGGAAUUGGAUUGAUAUUUCUAUUAGCUUUAGGAUUUCCU